GACGAACGCUGGCGGCGUGCCUAAUACAUGCAAGUCGAACGAGAGCGACCGGUGCUUGCACUGGUCACUCUAGUGGCGAACGGGUGAGUAACACGUGGGUAACCUGCCCAUCAGAGGGGGAUAACAUUCGGAAACGGAUGCUAAAACCGCAUAGGUCUUCGAACCGCAUGGUUUGAAGAGGAAAAGAGGCGCAAGCUUCUGCUGAUGGAUGGACCCGCGGUGCAUUAGCUAGUUGGUGAGGUAACGGCUUACCAAGGCCGUGAUGCAUAGCCGACCUGAGAGGGUGAUCGGCCACAUUGGGAAUGAGACACGGCCCAAACUCCUACGGGAGGCAGCAGUAGGGAAUUUUCCGGAAUGGACGGAAGUCUGACGGAGCAACGCCGCGGGGGUGAAGAAGGGUUUCGGAUCGUAAAACCCUGUUGUUAGAGAAGAAUAAGUGCUAGAGUAACUGUUAGCGCCUUGACGGGAUCUAACCAGAAAGGCACGGCUAACUACGUG
RNAcentral lists this ribosomal RNA (498 nucleotides) under uncultured bacterium. Its description in RNAcentral is "partial 16S ribosomal RNA". It matches the Rfam family "Bacterial small subunit ribosomal RNA", at positions 28 to 507 of the family's 1533-position model. The record is from RNAcentral.